GCGGACGUGGCGGAAUUGGUAGACGCGCUAGAUUUAGGUUCUAGUAAGAAAUCUUGUGAGGGUUCGAGUCCCUCCGUCCGUA
Molecule: transfer RNA, 82 nt
Filed under: Haptophyceae sp. NIES-3900
Lineage: Eukaryota; Haptophyta
Description: tRNA-Leu
Rfam family: tRNA
About the family: Transfer RNA (tRNA) molecules are approximately 80 nucleotides in length. Their secondary structure includes four short double-helical elements and three loops (D, anti-codon, and T loops). Further hydrogen bonds mediate the characteristic L-shaped molecular structure. tRNAs have two regions of fundamental functional importance: the anti-codon, which is responsible for specific mRNA codon recognition, and the 3' end, to which the tRNAs corresponding amino acid is attached (by aminoacyl-tRNA synthetases). tRNAs cope with the degeneracy of the genetic code in two manners: having more than one tRNA (with a specific anti-codon) for a particular amino acid; and 'wobble' base-pairing, i.e. permitting non-standard base-pairing at the 3rd anti-codon position.
Source: RNAcentral